This 479-nucleotide ribosomal RNA is filed under the name uncultured bacterium. RNAcentral's name for it is "partial 16S ribosomal RNA". It matches the Rfam family "Bacterial small subunit ribosomal RNA", at positions 28 to 507 of the family's 1533-position model. The record is from RNAcentral.
GAUGAACGCUGGCGGCGUGCUUAACACAUGCAAGUCGAACGAAGCACUUAAGAUUGAUUCUUCGGAUGACGUCUUUUGUGACUUAGUGGCGGACGGGUGAGUAACGCGUGGGUAACCUGCCUCACACAGGGGGAUAACAGUUAGAAAUGACUGCUAAUACCGCAUAACCCGAUAGGAUCGCAUGAUCCAGACGGAAAAGAUUUAUCGGUGUGAGAUGGACCCGCGUCUGAUUAGCUAGUUGGUGAGGUAACGGCCCACCAAGGCGACGAUCAGUAGCCGGCCUGAGAGGGUGAACGGCCACAUUGGGACUGAGACACGGACAAAACUCAUACGGGAGGCAGCAGUGGGGAAUAUUGCAAAAUGGGGGAAACCCUGAUGCAGCGACGCCGCGUGAGUGAAGAAGUAUUUCGGUAUGUAAAGCUCUAUCAGCAGGGAAGAAAAUGACGGUACCUGACGAAGAAGCCCCGGCUAACUACGUG